This 86-nucleotide transfer RNA is filed under the name Porphyromonas crevioricanis. RNAcentral's name for it is "tRNA-Ser(cga)". It matches the Rfam family "tRNA". Rfam says of the family: Transfer RNA (tRNA) molecules are approximately 80 nucleotides in length. Their secondary structure includes four short double-helical elements and three loops (D, anti-codon, and T loops). Lineage: Bacteria; Pseudomonadati; Bacteroidota; Bacteroidia; Bacteroidales; Porphyromonadaceae. The record is from RNAcentral.
GGAGGGAUGCCGGAGUGGUCGAUCGGGGCGGUCUCGAAAACCGUUGUGCCUUCGGGCACCCAGGGUUCGAAUCCCUGUCCCUCCGC